GAUGAACGCUGGCGGCGUGCCUAAUACAUGCAAGUCGAGCGAAUGGAUUAAGAGCUUGCUCUUAUGAAGUUAGCGGCGGACGGGUGAGUAACACGUGGGUAACCUGCCCAUAAGACUGGGAUAACUCCGGGAAACCGGGGCUAAUACCGGAUAACAUUUUGGACCGCAUGGUUCGAAAUUGAAAGGCGGCUUCGGCUGUCACUUAUGGAUGGACCUGCGUCGCAUUAGCUAGUUGGUGAGGUAACGGCUCACCAAGGCAACGAUGCGUAGCCGACCUGAGAGUGGGAUCGGCCACACUGGGACUGAGACACGGCCCAGACUCCUACGGGAGGCAGCAGUAGGGAAUCUUCCGCAAUGGACGAAAGUCUGACGGAGCAACGCCGCGUGAGUGAUGAAGGCUUUCGGGUCGUAAAACUCUGUUGUUAGGGAAGAACAAGUGCUAGUUGAAUAAGCUGGCACCUUGACGGUACCUAACCAGAAAGCCACGGCUAACUACGUGCCAGCAGCCGCCGUAA
Molecule: ribosomal RNA, 515 nt
Filed under: uncultured bacterium
Lineage: Bacteria
Description: partial 16S ribosomal RNA
Rfam family: Bacterial small subunit ribosomal RNA
Source: RNAcentral